Molecule: ribosomal RNA, 305 nt
Filed under: uncultured bacterium
Lineage: Bacteria
Description: bacterial SSU rRNA
Rfam family: Bacterial small subunit ribosomal RNA
Source: RNAcentral
UCACGGGGGGCAGCAGUGAGGAAUAUUGGUCAAUGGGCUUACGCCUGAACCAGCCAAGUCGCGUGAGGGAAGACUGCCCUAUGGGUUGUAAACCUCUUUUGUCAGGGAGCAACGCCGGCUACGUGUAGCCGGACUGAGAGUACCUGAAGAAAAAGCAUCGGCUAACUCCGUGCCAGCAGCCGCGGUAAUACGGAGGAUGCGAGCGUUAUCCGGAUUUAUUGGGUUUAAAGGGUGCGUAGGCGGAAUGCCAAGUCAGUGGUAAAAUUGCGGGGCUCAACCCCGUCCAGCCGUUGCAACUGGCGGUC